This 59-nucleotide microRNA precursor is filed under the name Scyliorhinus torazame (cloudy catshark). Its description in RNAcentral is "Sto-Mir-204-P2_pre stem-loop". It matches the Rfam family "mir-204 microRNA precursor family", at positions 16 to 74 of the family's 89-position model. Lineage: Eukaryota; Metazoa; Chordata; Chondrichthyes; Carcharhiniformes; Scyliorhinidae. The record is from RNAcentral.
UUCCCUUUGUCAUCCUAUGCCUGGGAAUAUAUGAAGGGGCUGGGAAUGCAAAGGGAUGU